This 403-nucleotide long non-coding RNA is filed under the name Elaeis guineensis (African oil palm). RNAcentral's name for it is "long non-coding RNA (EGUI_LNC014935)". Lineage: Eukaryota; Viridiplantae; Streptophyta; Magnoliopsida; Arecales; Arecaceae. The record is from RNAcentral.
UUCGCACACUGAGUUGCCCAAACGUUUGGUCCAAGCCCAAUCUUAAACAGGCUCUUACAAUGUGAGUCAUAUGCUUAAAGAAAAAAAUUACACCUUUUGUAAACACCAAAAGACACAUGUUAGAUUAGAUGAUCCUCAUCUUUCUAUUUGAUCUAAGAUCUAUGAACAACAAAAAGAAAAUUCUCGUGAUGAAGACAGCUGGGAGAUCACAACCAAUAAGUACAAAGAGACGUGCAAGAAAAAAAGAAAUCCUGUCUCAGUUGAUCUCUCGCAACAACAAUUCUUAUCAAAAAGAAGAAAAAAAAAGAAAAAAUCUCUUGCAGGAAGAAUACUCAAAGCACCAACUUCCCACCCAAUCCACAUCCUUCCACUCUACGCAACCCAUUUCUUAGAGUCAAAGGGG